Long non-coding RNA from Halichondria panicea, 200 nucleotides. RefSeq lists it as uncharacterized. NCBI's taxonomy places the organism in Eukaryota, Metazoa, Porifera, Demospongiae, Suberitida, Halichondriidae. The transcript is spliced from 2 exons. The record is from RefSeq and is a predicted model, not a curated record.
CCUAGGUGGUGGUAAGUGUCGGAGGCCUGAGAAACGCUAGUCUAUUGGCUGGAAUGUUGUUAUGGAGUGUUUAUGAGGACAAGUGGCACGGGAUACGUACAUCUAAAGAAACAAGAGUGGAUCUACGCCAAGCUAGCUACCUAGAUAGCUGCUCUUUCUAAUCUAUUUCUGUUGCUAAAUUAUGUUUGUUAAGAAGUGGA